Molecule: transfer RNA, 71 nt
Filed under: Bradyrhizobium sp. DOA1
Lineage: Bacteria; Pseudomonadati; Pseudomonadota; Alphaproteobacteria; Hyphomicrobiales; Nitrobacteraceae
Description: tRNA-Ser
Source: RNAcentral
GGACGAUUACGACUGGCAUCGUUGCCCUCCGAAGGCAAAGGUCACACGUUCGAAUCGUGUCGGGUGCGCCA